RNAcentral lists this non-coding RNA (90 nucleotides) under unclassified sequences. The record is from RNAcentral.
UGAUACCUGCCACCGGGUAGGAGAAAUGCAAACAGCAUUCAUUACACAUCGUUAGGUCUUAGAAGAUGUGCAUAUGAAUGCUUGUUUUUA